GGAGUUAGCCCGGUGCUUCUUCUGCGAGUAACGUCACAGAUGUAAGGUAUUAACUUACACCCUUUCCUCCUCGCUGAAAGUGCUUUACAACCCGAAGGCCUUCUUCACACACGCGGCAUGGCUGCAUCAGGGUUUCCCCCAUUGUGCAAUAUUCCCCACUGCUGCCUCCCGUAGGAGUCUGGGCCGUGUCUCAGUCCCAGUGUGGCUGAUCAUCCUCUCAGACCAGCUAGGGAUCGUCGCCUAGGUGAGCCUUUACCUCACCUACUAGCUAAUCCCACCUGGGCUUAUCCAUCAGCGCAAGGCCCGAAGGUCCCCUGCUUUCCCCCGUAGGGCGUAUGCGGUAUUAGCAGUCGUUUCCAACUGUUAUCCCCCACAAAUGGGCAAAUUCCCAGGCAUUACUCACCCGUCCGCCGCUCGUCAUCUUCAAAAGCAAGCUUUUGAAAUGUUACCGCUCGACUUGCAUGUGUUAGGCCUGCCGCCAGCGUUCAAUCUGAACCAAGAUCAAAUUCNGA
RNAcentral lists this ribosomal RNA (512 nucleotides) under uncultured bacterium. RNAcentral's name for it is "partial 16S ribosomal RNA". The record is from RNAcentral.